AGAACGAACGCUGGCGGCAGGCCUCAAACAUGCAAGUCUAGGGGGUGUAGCAAUACAUCACCGGCGGACGGGUGCGUAACGCGUGGGAAUGUACCUAUUGGUUCGGAACAACUGAGGGAAACUUCAGCUAAUACCGGAUGAGCCCGAAAGGGGAAAGAUUUCUCGCCAAUAGAUCAGCCCGCGUCCGAUUAGCUAGUUGGUGGGGUUAAAGCCUACCAAGGCGACGAUCGGUAGCUGUUCUGAGAGGAAGAUCAGCCACACUGGGACUGAGACACGGCCCAGACUCCUACGGGAGGCAGCAGUUGGGAAUCUUGGACAAUGGGGAAACCCUGAUCCAGCCAUGCCGCGUGAGUGAUGAAGGCCUUCGGGUUGUAAAACUCUUUCGGACGGGGACGAUAAUGACGGUACCCGUAGAAGAAGCUCCGGCUAACUUCGUGCCAGCAGCCGC
RNAcentral lists this ribosomal RNA (448 nucleotides) under uncultured bacterium. Its description in RNAcentral is "SSU rRNA". It matches the Rfam family "Bacterial small subunit ribosomal RNA", at positions 26 to 518 of the family's 1533-position model. The record is from RNAcentral.